GGGUUCUGCCCUUUCCCGAUUUCCCUUUCGGCUCCCACUCCCCGAUCAUCACUCCUUCGGGAUGGGUGUCUCAAGAGCCCUGUUGCACACCCACUUCUAUUCUAGGGUUCCUUUUGGACAGUGGGGCAGGCUUCCGCUGCCCAAAUUCUUCAACAUCUCUCUCCCUCUCUCUCUAAAGCGCUUCUCAUGGUGGUGUCCAUAGAACAAAGCUCUUGCAAGAGAAGCGAAUGGAGGAUAGCUUUGAGACUUUGGAUGGGCAAGGCAGGCUUCUAUGUCCAAGCUUCUUGGGCACUGAAUUCUUUUAGGCGGCCAUGAACGUCGACCAAAAAGACGCAUAAACACUUCAAAUGGCUCUCAAGGAUGUGAUCGCAUAAAACGCAUGCAUCGAGCCUGUUCGGAAUCAUUGUUAAUGGGCACUUGAUCUAAAGAUGGAUGAUGCUAGAUCUUUUUCGUUCCUCAAACAUGUUGUUCAAUUCGCCAAACUAAAUAGUUGUCAAAUUGAGAGACGUUGAACCAGACCAUAAAUGUUAUAUGCCUUGUAUGAGUGAAAGCAAAA
Molecule: non-coding RNA, 556 nt
Organism: Elaeis guineensis (African oil palm)
Lineage: Eukaryota; Viridiplantae; Streptophyta; Magnoliopsida; Arecales; Arecaceae
Source: RefSeq, a predicted model, not a curated record